Molecule: long non-coding RNA, 1052 nt
Filed under: Equus caballus (horse)
Lineage: Eukaryota; Metazoa; Chordata; Mammalia; Perissodactyla; Equidae
Description: lncRNA (ENSECAG00000059888.1)
Source: RNAcentral
UGUGGAAGCAAAGAGGCCCAUCCACCCAGGACGGAAUGAGGAGCUGAUGAGCCAAAUUAUAGGAGACAUUUUUAAAAAGAAAUGAAAUGAGAAGGUCACUUACUGAACAUUUCAUUUAUUUAGAGUGAAUCAAAAAUGACUCUAAGGCUUUAAGUCAGGUGACUGGGAUCACGGAGAUGCCAAUGUCAGAGGCAGGGGAAGAUGAGUUUGCUUUUGAAGAUGCAGAUUUCUAAAUGAAGCCAGCCUCUCCUAGUGAGGGAAUGGUCAGGGGGGCACUUGGAGAUGUAGAAGUGAGGCUGGUGUGAGAGGUGUAAAGUCCACUGAGUGUCUCCUCUACAAGAAGCCUGCCGUGGCAGCCGAGUUGCAGGGUCUUGGAAGUCUGGGUUGGGUGAGGAGGUAGGGGCAGCUCGCCCUCAACCUGCACUGGGCGGAGAAUAGGAGGUGCCUGAGAGGCAGUUUCAUGGAGAGAAGGAAAAUGUUGGCUGGGCAUCUGGCAAGCAGAGUAGACGGUCAGAGGAGCUCCCAGUGCAAAGUAUCAACGCAGAGAUGUGGAAACUGGAUGGGAGCUGAGUGAAUGGGAAAUGGGCUCAGAAGAGAUGGAAGGUUUGAAGAGGGUGAUGGAAAGGGCUCCGGGAGAGAUUCUCUGCGCCUAUAGGAGGAUGGCCGUCAAAGCCUGUAGCUCUGGCUGUGCAAGGACAGGACCUUUCUGCUAGUUCCUCAGAGCAGAAGUGAUGGUGGAAGCUGUGCGAAUGCGCAGUCCCUGAAAAAAACACACGUGCUUCAGAAGAGAAGGGCAAGGACUUGGGACUCAACACCAACAAUGAGGGAAGAGAUUGAGUCAGUGCAUCUUGUGUCCUAAGAAAUCUCUGCUUAUCUUAAGGUGGUAAAGAAUAAAUAACAUUUUAAAACACUUUAAAAUAAACCUAUGCGUAUUUCCUUUCCCCCUUUCUCCUAAAAUGAUGCUACUUUUAGUUGAAAAUUAUUAAGAUGAUAUGCACCAUUUUGGAAAGAAGGUCAAGAAUGAGAAAGGCAGAAAAUUUCGUGUAUGAAGC